GGCGGUAUAGCUCAGUCGGUAGAGCAACGGAAUCAUAAUCCGCAGGUCCAUGGUUCGAGUCCAUGUGCCGCUA
RNAcentral lists this transfer RNA (73 nucleotides) under Simkaniaceae bacterium. RNAcentral's name for it is "tRNA-Met". It matches the Rfam family "tRNA". Rfam says of the family: Transfer RNA (tRNA) molecules are approximately 80 nucleotides in length. Their secondary structure includes four short double-helical elements and three loops (D, anti-codon, and T loops). Further hydrogen bonds mediate the characteristic L-shaped molecular structure. tRNAs have two regions of fundamental functional importance: the anti-codon, which is responsible for specific mRNA codon recognition, and the 3' end, to which the tRNAs corresponding amino acid is attached (by aminoacyl-tRNA synthetases). tRNAs cope with the degeneracy of the genetic code in two manners: having more than one tRNA (with a specific anti-codon) for a particular amino acid; and 'wobble' base-pairing, i.e. permitting non-standard base-pairing at the 3rd anti-codon position. The record is from RNAcentral. Lineage: Bacteria; Pseudomonadati; Chlamydiota; Chlamydiia; Parachlamydiales; Simkaniaceae.